RNAcentral lists this long non-coding RNA (432 nucleotides) under Haliotis rufescens (red abalone). RNAcentral describes it as "uncharacterized LOC125371984". The record is from RNAcentral. Lineage: Eukaryota; Metazoa; Mollusca; Gastropoda; Lepetellida; Haliotidae.
AGUUUUUUCCUUUCGCUUACCAAAGAAGGACAUUACGAUACAAUAUGCAGUUCUCUAACUUCGCCGCACUUCUUGGCCUUGCUCUGGCAGCCGUUUUGGGUUUGGCUAGUGCUCACGGUCAUGGUGGCCACGGACAUGGUGGUCAUGGACAUGGUGGUCACGGACAUGGAGGUCAUGGACAUGGACAUGGUGGUCACGGUCAUGGAGGACAUGGUCAUAUUCACGGAGGUCAUGGUCACGGAGGUCAUGGCCACGGAGGACACGGUCACCACGGAUGAAGCUGCCGAGACGUUGGGGAUUGAUAUCCUAAGUACACAGUCACAUGAGAAUCUGGAUGCUGGGAAUCCACUGUGUAGUCGAUAACCUAUUGUAUUGAUUGUGAUUUGUGUAUCAUCAUUGCCUCAAAGAAUUAAAACAUCGAUCUGACAAUUA